This is a non-coding RNA of Aegilops tauschii subsp. strangulata, 1109 nucleotides long. The record is from RefSeq and is a predicted model, not a curated record. Lineage: Eukaryota; Viridiplantae; Streptophyta; Magnoliopsida; Poales; Poaceae.
UUGACUACUCUCACAGCUUGCUGCAUCUAUUAUUAGACCGUCUAUUUACUUGUAUGAACCAAUUUCAGAUCAGUCCAUCACUGAACAGACCGCAGUUGUUGUUGUUCCUCAACCCACUGAUGGUGAUGUCACAUGUGUACCGCGGCCUUCCGAACUGAACUCAGCGGGCAACCCGGCAACCUCAUCAACGUUUGUGUCUCUCAGUUGUCUCACUGACGAGUUAGCCGCAGCCGUAGCACAAAGUGUAAAUGGUAUUACAAGAUUCGUCUUUCGUUGUGAACCGUAUCUAUCUUAUAGAGGUUGUGUUGCAGAUGUUCAUUAACAUACUAAGUACAUUAUCAUUUUGGUUUGGUUUUUUUCCAGAGGCUCUAGAUUUGACUCAUAUGUAUGGAGGAAAUCACGUAAACAUCAAUGCAACUCCUCAAGUUUUACCACAAUCCGGUUCAACAUCCAAGCACAUGACUACAGGAUCUGUCGUGCGUGUCUCCAAACCAUCUAAGAAAGUUAUCUUGUCUGAUGAAAAAAGGGAGCAGAUAAACGCCAAGAGGCGAGCUGCUUAUCGGAGGAAAAAAGAGGAGGAAGCAGAAAAAGUACAACAUGGAAGUCAACCUGACCUUUCAAUAUCUGGUAUGAUUGUUUGAUUUUAAAUCAAAACAAUGUACAUUCCUGCAUUCACUACUCUCACACCUUCAUGCAUCUAUUACUAGAUGACAAGAAAGAGCUAAUAAAUGCGCGGAGGCGGGCAACGUAUCUUAAGAACAAGGAAAAUGUUGACAUUAACAAGGAACAGAUGAAAGCUCCGUUGGUAGAUGGUUAUCGAAGAAAAUAUGAUGACGCCGCCGGCAAGCAUCUCCUUCAAAAUAUGCCUGCCGUUGACAUGUCGGGUAUGCAAAAUGUUCCACGGAGCGCUCUCGGUGAUAUCACUAAUGGGGUACAAGCUCACCCUAUGCUCCUUGCCGACAAAAAUAGCCAGAUCAAGGCUCAAGGGCGAGCUACCGUGAAGCACAAAGAUGAUAACCUUCCUGCCCUUACAAUAUCAGGUUAGAAUGCUUUUUGAUUCAGCUGCCUCUUGAUAGUAUAUAUAUUCCUAAUGUUUCUGGAUACAAGUG